This is a long non-coding RNA of Cervus elaphus (red deer), 382 nucleotides long. RefSeq lists it as uncharacterized. The record is from RefSeq and is a predicted model, not a curated record. Lineage: Eukaryota; Metazoa; Chordata; Mammalia; Artiodactyla; Cervidae. The transcript is spliced from 3 exons.
CAGGCUCCGGAAAGGGGAAGAUUCAUCUGAGGUCACAGGCUCAAGUUUAGGGAGGAAGACAAUGUGAGAAGAGGCUAAAAAAAAAAAAAAAUUCUGAAAACAAACAAAUAUCUUUGGCCCUCUGUGACAUGAAGUGCCAGGCAGCCUCUUCACUGGACUCCCUGCCGCCUCCCUCUGGGGUCCUGGUGCCAAGCUGGCUGCCAGAUGAGGAAACCAAAGCACUGAGAAAUUAAAUGAUCAUGCCGGGGUCCUGCUCGUAUCACCAUGCUGAAGUCCAAUAGACAGUCUCCAAAGGACAGAGACCAGUGGCCUCACUGGACAAAACAAAGCUCCACAGUCGGCCUUCACUUCCUGUCCAGAUCCAUUUCCUACCAUAGCCCAA